RNAcentral lists this transfer RNA (75 nucleotides) under Parabacteroides sp. Its description in RNAcentral is "tRNA-Val". It matches the Rfam family "tRNA". Rfam says of the family: Transfer RNA (tRNA) molecules are approximately 80 nucleotides in length. Lineage: Bacteria; Pseudomonadati; Bacteroidota; Bacteroidia; Bacteroidales; Tannerellaceae. RNAcentral also lists the same sequence under 2 other names. The record is from RNAcentral.
GGGCGUGUAGCUCAGCUGGUUCAGAGCAUCUGCCUUACAAGCAGAGGGUCGGCGGUUCGAAUCCGUCAACGCCCA